ACUCCUACGGGUGGCUGCAGUGGGGAAUAUUGGACAAUGGGGGCAACCCUGAUCCAGCAAUGCCGCGUGUGUGAAGAAGGCCUUAGGGUUGUAAAGCACUUUCGUUAGUGAAGAAAGGUUUAUGGCUAAUACCUAUGAAUUUGACAUUAGCUAAAGAAGAAGCACCGGCUAACUCCGUGCCAGCAGCCGCGGUAAUACGGAGGGUGCAAGCGUUAUUCGGAAUGACUGGGCGUAAAGCGCACGCAGGCGGUUAUUUAAGUCAGAUGUGAAAGCCCCGGGCUUAACCUGGGAAUUGCAUUUGAAACUGGGUAACUAGAGUAUGUCAGAGGAAGGCGGAAUUUCCAGUGUAGCAGUGAAAUGCGUAGAGAUUGGAAGGAACACCGAUGGCGAAGGCAGCCUUCUGGGGCAAUACUGACGCUCAUGUGCGAAAGCGUGGGUAGCAAACAGGAUUAGAUACCCUGGUAGUCCACGCCCUAAACGAUGUCAACUAGGUGUUGGGCACUUAAGUGCUCGGUACCGCAGCUAACGCAUUAAGUUGACCGCCUGGGGAGUACGGCCGCAAGGUUGAAACUCAAAGAAAUUGACGGGGACCCGCACAAGCGGUGGAGCAUGUGGUUUAAUUCGAUGCAACGCGAAGAACCUUACCAGGCCUUGACAUCCAGAGAACUAAGCAGAGAUGCUAUGGUGCCUUCGGGAACUCUGAGACAGGUGAUGCAUGGAUGUCGUCAGCUCGUG
RNAcentral lists this ribosomal RNA (735 nucleotides) under uncultured bacterium. Its description in RNAcentral is "bacterial SSU rRNA". It matches the Rfam family "Bacterial small subunit ribosomal RNA", at positions 335 to 1064 of the family's 1533-position model. The record is from RNAcentral.